This 5378-nucleotide long non-coding RNA is filed under the name Sus scrofa (pig). RNAcentral describes it as "lncRNA (ENSSSCG00015047153.1)". The record is from RNAcentral. Lineage: Eukaryota; Metazoa; Chordata; Mammalia; Artiodactyla; Suidae.
UUUUUUUUUUUUUUUUUUUGGUCAGAGAGAGGCAACCUUGGUACCUGGGACCCACGGUAGUGCAGCUUCUACCUUUGAUUUGCUCACGACCGUGGGCAAGUUUGUUUCAUCUCUCCAGGACACGCUAGACUCUUGUAUUGCCUCCUUUCUGAACAUAUUAGUCGCAGUGAGUAGAAAAAACCCUAGAUUGGGAGUAAGAAACACACCUCUGGAUCAAAGGUAUCUAUUUCCACGAAGGACAAAAAUAAAAAGAGACGACCACUUCCUCAUAUUAAAAUGAGCAUCAGUCCGUAGUGUUUCUCGGAUUUCCUGAGUCGGAGAAAAGUCAUGUUCAUGAUUGCUUUUUGAUGAUUUUUAAAAUUUAGAACAUAGACCUUUGCUCCAUCACUGGCUACCAGCAACUAUAACACCUGAAUCAGAAUGUGAGCAUCUUUUCAGAGACAGCACUGUUAGUUGGUCUUGGCAGAAAGGUCCUGUAGAAGAAUGGCCCACACCCACAGGGCACAGUAUCUACCAGUGCAGCAAGUGUGGCAGAACUCCAGUCUUAGAGUGACCACAUCACUCAAGGACACUGUUCCCAUGGAAAUUUGGGGUCAUAGGGAGAAGCCCGACAUUCUGGGUUUCUAUGGCACUUCUGGUUGCUGCCAUUGCUACUGGCUGGUGAAGCACAGUUUGAAUAGCAAGGUCUUUCUGUGGGACCUAUCGCUGGGAUUAGUUACUCUGUCUUGGAACAGCUGUUACCACAUUUAUGGGGCUGAAAUGAUCUGAACCAGUUAGGAGAAGGACCGGGUGCAUGUGACUGUUUGUGCUUUAGGAAGAUAAUUUCUUUCUUGUGCAAGAGGCAUCCUAAGGUGAGCCGUCCAAGGCUGGUACAGUGGCUCCAUUGUGUCUGAGACCUUUGUUCCUUCUAUCUUGUUGCUCAGUAACAGGUUUUCAUCAGUACAUCACUUGUUAGUACAUCACUUCAGAGUCAAAGAUGGCUCUGCAAGAGGCAGUUGUUUUGUUUGCAUCAAAGGAAAAUGCAAGGUGCCUGUAACACUCUGCAUUAGCCCUCUAAGGCUGCUUUUUGAAAGUCUGAUAUAAGACUUCUAUUUACAUCUCAUAGGCCAAGUCGUCUCACAGCCACAUCUAGCUCCAAGGGAAGGUGGGCAGACCUGUGCCCACCUACAAAGUGGCAUUCUGUUUUAAGACAGGGGAGGCUGGGCUUUGGGAGACAGCUAGCCGUGCCCGCCAUGGUACCUCUGUUCUGAUUUUGAUGUAAAGGGCUACAGUUCUCAAUACAUUAAAGCUCAGUCCAGCAAACAGCCACGUAUUCCUUGGAUUUAACCUAUACAGCUCUUGUUCUUCUGUUUGUCACAUGAGAGGCUUGGCCCCGACGUCUGUAAUAGCAGGAAGGUCCUAGAGGGAGAGGGUCCGUGGAAACUGCCAGCCGAUGGUUAAGCAUCCCUGAGGCACUCCCUGGCCUGCUUCCAGGCAAGCAUAGCUUCUGCACACACUCAGGCUGAGGGUACUCUUUCGUAAAACUUCCCUCUCUUAUUCUCCCGUUCAGCCUGUCCUCAGCGUGCGGAAGAGUUUAGUGCAGGAACUAACCCCUUUAUUGCCCUGUUUCCCCUCCCCAUAGGGAGACCACUUUCAAAAAUAGUUAAUAAAUAGCCAUAAAAGAAAAGCAUCAACUGCAAUUUUUAAAAUGCCAUUUUCUCGGAAGUCUCUGCUGGUGUUUACAGUCAGGCCCCUGUUUCCAAUUGUGAAUUUAAUUGUUCCUCAAAAAGAAUGAAGUUCAUAUGUAUCCCACUUCUGAGGAUUAUCAGGCAGUAUAUAUCGUUUUUUUUUUUUGUCAGAUGACAUCUUUUUCAGCUAAUUAAAAGGACCGGCUUGACAAGUAUUGAGGAUCACACACUUCUGAAAGUUAAGGGAGGGGAUUCAUAAGAAUCUAUGUUGUGCAAUUUAAAUAGUUCUUUUCGGAGGAGAAAAACAAUCAUAAUUUUGGAAGAUUCAUUGCAUGUUUUACAUUAAACCAUAAAAUAUUCCAUAAGAUUCAUGUGGUCUAGGAAAUACUGCAUUCUAACUAGAAAGCACCCAUGCCUAAUCCUGCUUGAGCUAUUAUCAUUGCACGUGUAUGGCUCUGAUGAUUUACACGUAUGUGCAACCCUGUAUAAGGGACAUGUACUGAUCUACAUGAAGGCAUUUUACGCAUCAGUUUUUAUCCUCUGGUAUAAAGUAAAUUGCACUCUAGAGACUUGUGCAUUUAUUAGAUUCAGUUCCUCUGCUUGCUCAUAAAAUAAAUCUAUCCUCCUUUUUUGCAUCCCCGUGUAUAAAACUAGAAACUAAGGAAACGUACUUCUAGACUAGACUUUUCUGGGCUCUUUUGGCAUUUUAAGAAAGAAAAGGCUUCAAGAUUAUAAGACCUUCCAGAACUUUACAAAAUUCAGAGAUAGAUGGCAUAAUUUGAGGUAAUGGCCUAUAGUUUAAUUUUUAUUAAAUAAAUCGUUUUAACAACAGUUCCUAUCCAUUCAGGGUCCAGCUUGGAGACAGCAAAACAAAACAAAACAACAUAGGAAUCCAAACAAGGAAAGUUUUUUUUAUAAAGAAUUACUAACUAGUAAUAAGGACCAAGGGUAAAGUGGACGCUGAGGAAUUUGGGAAUAGCAGAUGGAGCAGCAGUUGACACUGUGGCCAAGGCGGGGUCCCCAGGGCAGGAACAUAUUUGGAGAAGCUGUGCUGUAGCCCGUUGGCUGGCUGGGAAGCUCACUGCUCUGGUGCUGCAGGCUGGCAAGCUGGAAACCUCCUGCUAGAAUGCUAGUGACCACACUGGGAGAUCAGCUAGAGCACAGGUAGAACCCUCUGGAAGCUGCCCCCGGGGGCCUGCCAGACUCUCCUCAGGGAGACUGACUGGGACACCAUCUAAACUUGUUAAGAAGCUGCCUGCAGAAGUGAGGCUGGACCUUGCUAGGUAAUUGCGCACCACCCCGGACCCGCAAGCUGGCUGACACUGCAGGAGCAAGAAGCCAGAAAGCACACUGAAUACGGAGGAAGACACUCCCUUUUCUUCACUAGUAUCCCUCUCUCUCGCCCUCUACUGACGAAGUUUAGCAUUGCACCCCUAGACGAAGAAAUGUUUAGAGGGUCCAGCUUUAGCAUCACAAGGCAAGGCAAUGAAGGGUGGGUUUGGACGUGGAAAGCAAUAAAUUGAUAACAGGCACAAUCACUAUAUUUUUUAAUUUAAGUAACUAAACAUAAAUUUGAAUUGUUAAAAUGGAAAAUUGAGAAAUGUGUUGCCACUUUAAUCUGAAAGUUAACCAUAACCAGUGAUGUAGGGAAAUUAAUGUUUAAGUGAAUUCAUGGACACACAUUAGAAUUUAGAAAGGUUGAUCUACAGGGUUAAAUUGAAACAUUUAAAAAAAUUAAGGCAUUGAAUCUGAAAGGUCUGAGAGAUUAAUUAGUCCAAUGCUCUGAUUCUAGAAAUUAGCGAGAGCCAAGGCUAAGGAGUUAGUGGAAAAGAUUAUUUGUUUGUUUCAUAAGUAUUUAUUCAGUAAAUGCUACUGGUAUGGUUCCAGGUAUAGGGGUCUAAGAGCAAACAGAUUAUUACCUGUACUCACAGAAUUUACAUUUGAGUCCAACAGAUAAAGAAGUAAAUAUGUAGUAACUCAGGUAUUAGAAGGGCUCUAACAAAAACAAAUCAGGGUAAGAGGAUAGAAAAUAAUGUAGGUAAGAAGGGAGGGGAGAGGCAGUGAUGUUUGUAUGGGUGUCACCUGAAGGGGGUCUCGCAACCCAAAACGUUCAAAUAGACGACAGCUUUUGGCAAAUUUCACGUAUUUUUCUCACUGUCCUUGUUCCUUUUGUACUUGCAGCCACGUUUUUAUGGGUUUGUAUCCCUUCAGCAAAGUCAAGGUGGAAGAGUACCACUGUCCUUUUUCUCCCAUCUUAUGUUUUAAAGGGAUUCAUUUUUAUAACGAUUACCUGUUUGUACCAUGUUCUUGUUCAUCCCACUCCGAGAAACUGGCAGAUGCAGCUUGCAGGAAAACUGGUUACAACGGACACCAACUAUGCUCUCACAACUCAGACUGACCACAUAGUUUGACACGUUUCAACUGGUUACUAGCUUGCUGGCUGUUUAGAUAUUAUACAUCUCCUGAGGGCAAUGUUGAACAUGCUGAAAAUCAUUCAACAGUUAGUGUCCCAUGUAAGAUGAUAUUUCAGCACUAAGAUAUUUCUUAAUUAUAUGUGUUUUUACUGUAUGUGUAAAUAGGGAAUAAAAGUUGCUGAAAUGCCAUUAACAAUGGCUGUUGAAAUUUUGCACUCUAGAAGCUACUAGAAGCAGAGAAAGGGAGUUGAACAUGUGGUGGUUAAUAUGCAGUUGGGCUCUUUCCUGACAAAUACAGCUGAUUUUAAGGUCAGUAUAACGGAUCUCACUGUUAAACUUUAAAAACUUUGUCUUAAAUCGCUGAUAGAAUCAGACAGAUAGCUGAAAGAAAACAUUUCUUUCAUGGCUAUUUUGAAAACGUCAUCAAAUUUCAGUUUGAUUUCAACUGGACCUUUUGCAAUACAACAUGGCAUUUGACUAAUCUUUAUUUCCCUGUCAUUGGUCAUUCAUCCUGUCAUGGCUUUUUUGAUUUGUAACUCUGGUAAUCAAGGUAAACUCGCUUAUAUUAACAUUUUGAUUUGUCAAAAUUUUUCUUCUUUCCAAGGACAUUUAAUCUGUAUUAAAAUUCUGCAUUAGUUGAAAUUAAAUUCUUUUCGUGUAGGAUAACUCCUUGGUUAUUAAAAUCACUUUGUUGAACUGCUAGUUGACAGCAUGUAGUUAAAUGAGUAUAUCUGUUGAACUUGGUGGAAACUGCAGUACAAAGGAAGACAUUUGAAUAUGUUUAUUAUCUUGUUUAUUUCUUAUGUUUAUUAUCUAAUGACAUUUUGUCAUUAAUUCAGCACACUAUGUGUAAGAGGGUUAAACUCUGAAAGCAAAACAGUACGAAAUCCAAAGCAGUGUAUGAUGGGAACGUUCCUUUAAAAAAUUCUGAAGUCGUCUCGCAUCUUUUAACUCAUGUGGGCAUAAAAGUUGAGCUACUGCAUCUUGGAGUUUACCUUACAGUGCUCAAUCCCCCCCAAAACUUGGAUGAAAAAAUUAUUUCCUUACCUGAUUUAAAAAAGAAAUACACACGAAGUGUAAUAAAAACUGUAAAGAGACUACCAGAAAUCUACUAAUUACCAUUUUCUCUAAUGUUUCAUUCUCAUCGGUUUUUAGUUAGUUUUUUAAGCAAGUCAGGUGAUAAUUAAAUGUGCCUAGAAGCCUCCUGGAAACAUCAAAUUACAGUCCUUAUGGAAAUCUCUCCCCUCAGUUACUCAGUGGGAGAACCAUUGGAGCAUGGAGUUCUGUUGGCCACAUU